This 465-nucleotide ribosomal RNA is filed under the name uncultured Klebsiella sp. Its description in RNAcentral is "bacterial SSU rRNA". It matches the Rfam family "Bacterial small subunit ribosomal RNA", at positions 338 to 795 of the family's 1533-position model. Lineage: Bacteria; Pseudomonadati; Pseudomonadota; Gammaproteobacteria; Enterobacterales; Enterobacteriaceae. The record is from RNAcentral.
CCUACGGGGGGCAGCAGUGGGGAAUAUUGCACAAUGGGCGCAAGCCUGAUGCAGCCAUGCCGCGUGUGUGAAGAAGGCCUUCGGGUUGUAAAGCACUUUCAGCGGGGAGGAAGGCGGUGAGGUUAAUAACCUCAUCGAUUGACGUUACCCGCAGAAGAAGCACCGGCUAACUCCGUGCCAGCAGCCGCGGUAAUACGGAGGGUGCAAGCGUUAAUCGGAAUUACUGGGCGUAAAGCGCACGCAGGCGGUCUGUCAAGUCGGAUGUGAAAUCCCCGGGCUCAACCUGGGAACUGCAUUCGAAACUGGCAGGCUAGAGUCUUGUAGAGGGGGGUAGAAUUCCAGGUGUAGCGGUGAAAUGCGUAGAGAUCUGGAGGAAUACCAGUGGCGAAGGCGGCCCCCUGGACAAAGACUGACGCUCAGGUGCGAAAGCGUGGGGAGCAAACAGGAUUAGAUACCCCUGUAGUC